RNAcentral lists this ribosomal RNA (448 nucleotides) under uncultured bacterium. Its description in RNAcentral is "partial 16S ribosomal RNA". It matches the Rfam family "Bacterial small subunit ribosomal RNA", at positions 355 to 814 of the family's 1533-position model. The record is from RNAcentral.
UGGGGAAUAUUGCACAAUGGGCGAAAGCCUGAUGCAGCGACGCCGCGUGCGGGAUGAAGGCCUUCGGGUUGUAAACCGCUUUUAAUUGGGAGCAAGCGAGAGUGAGUGUACCUUUUGAAUAAGCACCGGCUAACUACGUGCCAGCAGCCGCGGUAAUACGUAGGGUGCAAGCGUUAUCCGGAAUUAUUGGGCGUAAAGAGCUCGUAGGCGGUUUGUCACGCCUGGUGUGAAAGUCCAUCGCUUAACGGUGGAUCUGCGCCGGGUACGGGCAGGCUAGAGUGCAGUAGGGGAGAUUGGAAUUCCCGGUGUAACGGUGGAAUGUGUAGAUAUCGGGAAGAACACCAAUGGCGAAGGCAGAUCUCUGGGCUGUUACUGACGCUGAGGAGCGAAAGCAUGGGGAGCGAACAGGAUUAGAUACCCGUGGUAGUCCAUGCCGUAAACGGUGGAU